CCUACGGGGGGCAGCAGUGGGGAAUAUUGGGCAAUGGGCGAAAGCCUGACCCAGCAACGCCGCGUGAAGGAAGAAGGCUUUCGGGUUGUAAACUUCUUUUGACAGGGAAGAGCAGAAGACGGUACCUGUCGAAUAAGCCACGGCUAACUACGUGCCAGCAGCCGCGGUAAUACGUAGGUGGCAAGCGUUGUCCGGAUUUACUGGGUGUAAAGGGAGCGUAGACGGUGAUGCAAGUCAGAAGUGAAAGCCCGGGGCUCAACUCCGGGACUGCUUUUGAAACUGUGUGACUGGAGUGCAGGAGAGGUAAGCGGAAUUCCUGGUGUAGCGGUGAAAUGCGUAGAUAUCAGGAGGAACACCAGUGGCGAAGGCGGCUUACUGGACUGUAACUGACGUUGAGGCUCGAAAGCGUGGGGAGCAAACAGGAUUAGAUACCCCAGUAGUC
RNAcentral lists this ribosomal RNA (442 nucleotides) under uncultured bacterium. Its description in RNAcentral is "partial 16S ribosomal RNA". It matches the Rfam family "Bacterial small subunit ribosomal RNA", at positions 338 to 795 of the family's 1533-position model. The record is from RNAcentral.